Molecule: transfer RNA, 76 nt
Filed under: Acinetobacter sp. ANC 4218
Lineage: Bacteria; Pseudomonadati; Pseudomonadota; Gammaproteobacteria; Moraxellales; Moraxellaceae
Description: tRNA-Glu
Rfam family: tRNA
About the family: Transfer RNA (tRNA) molecules are approximately 80 nucleotides in length. Their secondary structure includes four short double-helical elements and three loops (D, anti-codon, and T loops). Further hydrogen bonds mediate the characteristic L-shaped molecular structure. tRNAs have two regions of fundamental functional importance: the anti-codon, which is responsible for specific mRNA codon recognition, and the 3' end, to which the tRNAs corresponding amino acid is attached (by aminoacyl-tRNA synthetases). tRNAs cope with the degeneracy of the genetic code in two manners: having more than one tRNA (with a specific anti-codon) for a particular amino acid; and 'wobble' base-pairing, i.e. permitting non-standard base-pairing at the 3rd anti-codon position.
Source: RNAcentral
GUCCCUAUCGUCUAGAGGCCUAGGACAUCGCCCUUUCACGGCGGUAACCGGGGUUCGACUCCCCGUAGGGACGCCA